RNAcentral lists this ribosomal RNA (476 nucleotides) under uncultured bacterium. RNAcentral's name for it is "bacterial SSU rRNA". It matches the Rfam family "Bacterial small subunit ribosomal RNA", at positions 37 to 507 of the family's 1533-position model. The record is from RNAcentral.
UGGCGGCAGGCUUAACACAUGCAAGUCGAGCGGUAGCAGAUCUAGCUUGCUAGAUGCUGACGAGCGGCGGACGGGUGAGUAACGCGUAGGAACCUGCCCAGUAGUGGGGGAUAGCCCGGGGGAAACUCGGAUUAAUACCGCAUACGCUCUACGGAGGAAAGAGGGGGCUUCGGCUCUCGCUAUUGGAUGGGCCUGCGUGAGAUUAGCUAGUUGGUGAGGUAAUGGCUCACCAAGGCGACGAUCUCUAGCUGGUCUGGGAGGAUGAUCAGCCACACUGGGACUGAGACACGGCCCAGACUCCUACGGGAGGCAGCAGUGGGGAAUAUUGCACAAUGGGCGCAAGCCUGAUGCAGCCAUGCCGCGUGUGUGAAGAAGGCUUUCGGGUUGUAAAGCACUUUCAGUGGGGAGGAAGGCCUCGUAGUUAAUAGCUGCGAGGAUUGACGUUACCCACAGAAGAAGCACCGGCUAUCCCCGUG